UCGCCGACACAUUCCAGCCAAUCAGCAGCAGACCCUCCCUCCCAGACCCUCUCACCUCGUGGACAGCAUCCAUUUUACAUUCAUUGUGGAGCUGCAUUCUUAGUGAGCUGUCUAGGAGGUGGGAGGGUCUGGGAGGGAGGGUCUGCUUCUGAUUGGCUGGAAUGUGUCUGCUG
Pelobates cultripes (western spadefoot toad) is the source of this 173-nucleotide non-coding RNA. NCBI's taxonomy places the organism in Eukaryota, Metazoa, Chordata, Amphibia, Anura, Pelobatidae. The record is from the annotation of a GenBank genome assembly.